ACUGGGUGUGGUGGGGCACACCUGUAAUCCCAGCGGCUCAGGAGGCUGAGUCAGGAGGAUUGAAAGUUCAAUGCCAGCCUCAACAAUUUAGCAAGGCCUUAAGCAACUUAAUGAGACCCUGUCUCAA
This 127-nucleotide small RNA is filed under the name Marmota monax (woodchuck). Lineage: Eukaryota; Metazoa; Chordata; Mammalia; Rodentia; Sciuridae. The record is from RNAcentral.